AUAGCGUAUAUUAAAGUUGUUGCAGUUAAAAAGCUCGUAGUUGGAUUUCUGGUUUAGUGCGCUUGGCCCGCCACGGUUUCGUGUGUGAGUGCCGAUGCGCGCUUACCAUCUUUCUGGAGAACGUUCCUGCCCUUUACUGGGUUGGGUUCGCAAUCCAGAACUUUUACUUUGAAAAAAUUAGAGUGUUUAAAGCAGGCGUGUGCUAUGAAUACAUUAGCAUGGAAUAAUGAUUUAGGACUUUAGUCUUAUUUUGUUGGUUUCCAGGACUGAAGUAAUGAUUGAUAGGGAUAGUUGGGGGUGCUAGUAUUCAGCGGCCAGAGGUGAAAUUCUUGGAUUCGCUGAAGACUAACUUAUG
RNAcentral lists this ribosomal RNA (355 nucleotides) under uncultured eukaryote. Its description in RNAcentral is "SSU rRNA". It matches the Rfam family "Eukaryotic small subunit ribosomal RNA", at positions 594 to 945 of the family's 1831-position model. The record is from RNAcentral.